AGUAAUUAUAAAUCUCAAAUCUCAAAUCAAUCAAUUCAUCUAUAAUUUGAAAAACUUGUCGAACUAAAAAAAUCUGUGGCCAACACUCAGCAUGCGACGUUGGACGAGAAAGCGGAUAAUAUCUGGAAAAGCAGAAGAGGUCAAAUUUGAAGUAAAACCAAGAAACUCUUAGCAUCUCACAGAAUCUCUCUCUUCUUGGCGCCGGAGUCUCAUCCAACACUCACAAUAAUGAAACUGAUAGUAAAGCUUCAUUCACAAUAAUCGAAAUGAUAGCAAGCAACAAAAAUCAUGUGCAUCUCAAUGUCCGCAGUCGAAUUAAGAGGAUUGCAAAUUAACAGCAUCUAUCAUCUAUUUGCUAAGAGGAUUUGGAAGAUUAAGCAAACCCUAUUAAGAGGAUUUAUAAAAAUACUACUCCCUUCUCCCAAAUAACUUCCUAACUUCUGUUUUUGAGCCAUACCCCAAAAAAUUUCCCCUUUCAUACACCACUAAUAAUAUCUCAUUUAAUUUUACUUUUUAAAAACUUGCUUCAACAAUCUACUACGCCACUUAUCUAUAUAUUGUUAUGUGCCUAACACUAGAUUAGCAACUAUGAGCUCUUGCAUCAUUAGCUCUUUUUUAUAUAAAAACAUAAGGCUACUAAUUUUUUAUUCUAUUUUAACCUUACCCAACAUGCUUAACCCAUUAACUCCGGUAGAGCUAAAUGAGUUUUCAAAUCUCAAUUACAACUCAUUAUUCCUCCCACUCUUUCAAUUCAAAUGCCAUGAUCAUAAUUAAAAUAAUCUCACAAUAGAUCAAUCAAUCAGAAUUUUAAAACCAGAAGCACGAUGCGAACUAAUGUAGAAAAAUCUCACGAAUUAUGUUCGGUGGCAGUUGAGCCGCGGCUGCUGCAUUUAGGCUAUUGGGAAUGGGCGGCCGACCGCAGCGAUAGCUUUUGCUGUUGCUGCUCGGCUAUAUUGGGAGGAGAGGUGGAGCGGCUAUUGUGGCCGAACGAAUCCGAGCCGCGAGCAGCGGCUGAUUUGGAGUAGGUUCGCGGCGGUAGUUCCGGCGAACGUUGGAGAUGGGGUGCACGACUGCAAGCAACGGCAGCGGCGACCUAUGGGCUGUCCACCGGAGUUUUAGUGAGAGAUGGAGAACAGAGGAGAGCGAAUAGAUGGAGGUGGUGGGAACUGACGGCGGCGAAGGCUUUUCUCCGUUGGCCGUCCGUAGAGGGAUCAAAAGAGAGAGCGAGAGGAUUCGAGAAAGAGCAAAGAACAAUCCGGGAAGGUUUCUGUCAUUGAGGGGAUGAGAGAGACUGAUUUAUUGGGCUCAUAGUUUUGGUAUAUAAUAAAUUUAUGUGAUGGGC
RNAcentral lists this long non-coding RNA (1342 nucleotides) under Salvia miltiorrhiza (redroot sage). Its description in RNAcentral is "long non-coding RNA (SMIL_LNC007197)". The record is from RNAcentral. Lineage: Eukaryota; Viridiplantae; Streptophyta; Magnoliopsida; Lamiales; Lamiaceae.